Molecule: ribosomal RNA, 254 nt
Filed under: uncultured bacterium
Lineage: Bacteria
Description: partial 16S ribosomal RNA
Rfam family: Bacterial small subunit ribosomal RNA
Source: RNAcentral
UACGUAGGGGUCCAGCGUUGUCCGGAAUCAUUGGGCGUAAAGAGCUCGUAGGCGGUUCGGCAAGUCGGAUGUGAAAUCUCCACGCUCAACGUGGAGGGGCCAUUCGAAACUGCCGUGACUCGAGUCCGGUAGGGGAGUGCGGAAUUCUCGGUGUAGCGGUGAAAUGCGCAGAUAUCGGGAGGAACACCAGUGGCGAAGGCGGCACUCUGGGCCGGAACUGACGCUGAGGAGCGAAAGCGUGGGGAGCGAACAGG